Molecule: long non-coding RNA, 3510 nt
Organism: Manacus vitellinus (golden-collared manakin)
Lineage: Eukaryota; Metazoa; Chordata; Aves; Passeriformes; Pipridae
Exons: 2
Source: RefSeq, a predicted model, not a curated record
CGGAGUGGCCAGGGUUUGGUGCAGAGAGGAGGAGGAGGAUGGAAGGAGGUUGUGGGGUCUGGCUCAGGUGAUGCUGCUACUGGUAGCCAUAGGAGCAGGAUGGGGUGGGAAGCUGCUUGCCCACCCCGGGGGGAGAUUUAGGGAUGGAGCAGGCCCUAAAUGAUAUCUCGAACCUGAAAUCCCGGGAAGGGCUGCUGGCAUGUGGUGAGGAUGGUGAUGGAUCGAGGGGGAUGGUCUCGCCUGCUCUGGGCGGCUGCGGGGCUGAUCAGCUGGUGCCAGGGUGGGGUGGGGGCCAGGGUGACCCCCUGCUGAUUGGGGUGGGUUUGGGUGAUGGCGAAGAGCUCGGCUGUGUUGGAUGUUUGGAUGAGGGCGUCGGUGCUGGAGGGGUCCGGCAGUGGGUUGUGGUUGUGCGAGGGGCACCACCAGGGGUGGUGGCAAGGAGACCCUUGGGGAAGGGUUUUGCUGCUGUUGUGUGUUUGGGGCUGCUGCCAGUGCUGGGAUUGGAGGGUGAUGGAAGUGUUAAAUCCAGAGCUGUUGGCAACAGGCUGUGCGUGGGCCUGGGGGAAAGUGGGGCAAGGAGAAAGAGUUUCCUUUUCUUCCCCCCUUUUUCACUUCCAUCUUCCCUCCCAAAAUAAUCUUGGCAAACCAGGGAAAAAAGCAAAUUUACAAAAAAACCCCACCUUUUCCUUGAAAAUUUCACCUCCUGCACUUUUUUCUUCCCUUAUGUUGCUCAUUUGGGAGAUUCCCCCUAACACUUUGGAUGGGAAUUGUGAAGUUUGUCACCAGCUCUGGGGAAAAGGCUGCAAACUGCUUCUGCCAGCCUAGAGCUCUGCCAGGGGUGAGGGGCCCUCAACGUUUCAGGGGUCCCCUCCGCACGGGUCCCUCUGUGUUGCUGGGGUGAGCAUCCAUUGGAUGAGGAAGGAUAUUCCCAGCCAUGCCUUGGUCGUGCCAUCCCUGGUGCCACAUCCUCCUUUGCCCUCCCAUCCUUCUGGCUGAGGGCACAAUUUGGGAAUAUUUUGGGGAUUUUUACCACUUAAAGUGGCAAAAAUUCAUCUCUAUCCACCUCUCCCAGGGCUGUGGGCAAGUCCAUAACUAUGGGCUUCAGCUGAACGUUUGCUCGUUUCCCUUUCCCAUGUUUAUCCUUUGCCUUCCCCUCUCACUUCACUUUUCUUUCUUCUCUUUUUUCUUUCUUUUCUCUUUUUUCUCCUUUUCUAUCUUUUUUUGUUUUGUUUUGUUUUGGUUUUUUGUUUCUUUUCCACAAAAAAUCCCAACCAGACCCGUAAACCAAGUAUUAUGUUUUCACUACCUCCAUCCAUCACCCUUCCCUUUCCGAUGCCAGAAGCCAUGCUCGGGAUGUAAGAGGGCCUUUCCCCCUUUAUUUUCCCCUUUCCUCCAGAGAUUUUAUCUCCUCUGUGUCCCUCUGCCCCUCCUCUCUCUGGUCUCUCACCUGUAGUGUUUUACCUGGCUACUGUAACUGUAAAUAGCGAGUUUCAAUCUGUUAGCGAUGGUAACAGUACAGAAAACUGGUUUUGGGGGGUUUUUUUUGUUGUAUUGAUAUGAAAUGAGAUUAUAUUUUUGUCAGAGUAUAUUGUAAUAAUACUGACUUUGGACAUGGCCGAGUUGUACAGCGAUUUCUUGUUUAAACCUCUUGGCUCCUCCCUUGCUCUUCCCCUCCCCGUCCCUCCCUGCUCCCCAGGUUUCCAUGUCCCAGACCCAGACCUGGCCGGGCUCCCAGCUGGGAGCAGCCACUUGGCAAUGGCUUCACACCAGGGAUGCUUUUCCACAGGGUUCCCAACACGCUGGCGUGUCCCCCCGUGGGUCUGGAGAGGUCAGAAACACGCAGGAGGAUAUUUAAGUGAGCCUUGGAUAUACGGAGGUUCCUGGUGUGCAGGGAUGCUCCCGCUCUCUGCUACACUCCCGGCAGGAAUCAGGGACCUCGGAGGAAUGGAUGAGGUCAUUCCAGCUCCCCUCUCCUCCCUAGCGAGUGGAAAACCACGUUGUUUUCCAGUUUCUUCCUCCCGAGCUCCGUUCUCUGGAGCGAUGCCUGUUUGGAAUGUGCUUUCCUUAAGCCAGAAGAGGGUGGUGUGGCUCAGACUGCACCGGGAUCGUCUCCGAGCAGUCUGAAGUUGUUUUCCGGGAACUGGAAGUUUUACAACAUCCCCAGCCCAGUGCUGCGGGGAGAGGCGUUGGUGAGCCGGGGUGAGCUGUUCCCCCCCUGCAUCCCACCCACAAAUGAGGGAUUUCUUCCCUUCGGCUGGGUUUGCAGAGCGGGAUUUUCCUGCUGGUGCCACUGAGAUGUAGAGACCUGCCCAGUUCCUCGCUCUCUGGGCACAAACCCACUGCAGAGCCUUAUGGAACAUCCUUUCCACAGGGAAACGCUGUCGUGGGACAAUGCUGAGGUGUCCCCGUGGGCUCCCAGCAUCUCCUGCAAGGCCGAGGGGUGAAGCAGCCCAGCUCGGGCCACGACACCCCUCCUCCCCACGGCUCUUUCUGAGCAGUGUGCAGGCAAAUAGGACUCUGAAGAGGUGGGGACCAUCACGGCUGUGCUGCUGCUCCCCUUUUGUGUCCCACAUGGCCUCUGGGUUGGGUCUCCCCCAUCCCCUUCACGCCUCUGGUUCCCUGUAGCUCAGUAAAGCAGCUUCUCUGUGUGAUGGUUCAUUGGAUCUCCCCGCUCAGCCCGUCUGUAACAGCACAGGCAGCUCUGCAUCCUCUCCCCAGGGUGCUGCACAGGUAGAAACAAAACAGGACGUGCACUUCCCCUGAGGAGUUUUAUUUAUUGUUUUGAGAAGCAAUUUAAAAGGAAAAAAAAAAUAAACUGUGUAUCUAUAAUAUAUAUAUAUAUAUUUUUAACCUCUUUUCUUUUCCUGAUGCUCCUCCACCCGUGUGUGUGUGCGUGUGUGUGCGCGAGUCAAGGGAUUCUGAGUGGGGACCAGGGUGUCCCCUUCCCCGUGUCCAGCUCUCCAGGGGACCACAGUGUCCCCUUCCCCGUGUCCAGCUCUCCAGGGGACCACAGUGUCCCCUUCCCCGUGUCCAGCUCUCCAGGGGCGAUGCAGCAGAAGCCCAGAAGCAGCAGUGGGAGGGGAGGGAGGAUUUAUGCUGAGAGCUUGUAACGUUUUAACCGUGAUUUUUGAAUAAUUCCAUCUUUCUCUGGAGUAUUUGCACCCUUGGGGUCUGGCCUGACCCAGAUCCUCCCCCACCCUGGGGAUGCCAUCGCCCCCCAUCCCCAUCCCCUCCUGUCCCUGCUCCCUUGACAAUCAGUGGCUCCUUCCCAGGGACUGCAGCACGUGGUUGAGACGUCUGUUUCGUUUUUUCAAUAUUCCUUUUUUGUGCUGUAUGGUGAUGCGUUAUUGUAUAUUCCACAAUAAGAAAAAAAAUAUAUAAAAAAAUGAUGAUAAUAAUAAUAAUUACCAUGAGAAAUUCUUAUGAGUUUUGUUUGGAAACUCUUUCACUAUAUUUGUUGUAAAGAGGUUUACUAUUAAAAAGAAAAAAAAUACACGUUUCUGAUAAUUU